ACUGAUGGAUUUCUUACAAUAGGGAAAGUAACUAAAAUAGUUCAAUAUUGAAGAUCACAUGCAAGGUGAGGCUUGUCUGGAGAGUACUGGAUCAGACUUGAGUGAAAGCUGAUGUCAAUGUGGUAGGCCAAUGGUGAAGGGAGGAGACUGUUAAAGGUCAUUUGGGAGGUAUGGGCCCACAUAAAGCAAAUAACCUGAUCAAGAAAUAUUAUAUAUAUUUGGGCAUAAAACCUCAUGGAUUAAGCUUGUGGAUCAAAUUGGGUUUUAACAUGUACAUCAAGGCCCCUUAUAUUGGACUCCCAUCUUCCUUAUCGAAUCCCUUAUGCAAUCCAAGAGUUGUUAUCUCUUGAUGAGAGUUAUCUUCUACUGUUCCCUUAAGAGGUUGUGAUCUAAGAGAGCUGUCUCUUGAUACUAUGAUUCAACAAUGGUAUCAAAGCUAAUGGUGAUGAUCCCAUACACAACUCUUAAAGCGAUGACAAGUGCCAAUACUAGUGGAUCUUAAAAUGGCGACAUGUGGGCUAGUAGAGCAAAGUUUAAUAGCCAUAGUGUGCCAAGUUGAUGAAGCGGACUCAAUGCAGCGGUGCUGAGUAAGCACGGGCUCGGGCAUCAUUCUUGAAGAGUCAGGAUCAUAGUGUAAUGAGCGUAUCCAAGCAUGGCGGAAAGCAUGCAAGAGCACAUGAUGGUGCAGUGGGAAUGACAAGAUGAGUGAACUUGACUUUGGUGUAACAUAGCUUAAAAGCAUGAUUCCACAGUUGGAUCACUACAUGAAGCACUCAAAAAAAACUGGCUUAAGAGUAGUGGAUCAAAUGCAAGGGAAAGUUAAUGAGGAUGUGGGAAGAGUUCAGACAUCACGAUUUGAUUAUUGAGAAUUCAUGUGUAAAAAAGAAAAUCCUACAUCAAAUCAUGAAAGAAAAGUAAAGGGUUUGAUCUGCUAGUUGGGCCCAAAACUCAUACCUUAAGCAUUUAGGCCAAAUUCGGUUCAAACAUGUAUCCCAAGUUCCUUGGGUUUUAAGUCCAUGCAUCCCCUAAAGUAUCAGACUCAAGGUCUCCAGUACUGGAACUGGCACACAUGCCAGUAGGUUGGCGGUACAGUACGAUAUGGUGCUAUGCUAUGUCAUGCCAUUCCAGUGUGUUCCAACAAAGAGGAACCAGCGAAGGAGGGG
Molecule: long non-coding RNA, 1163 nt
Filed under: Elaeis guineensis (African oil palm)
Lineage: Eukaryota; Viridiplantae; Streptophyta; Magnoliopsida; Arecales; Arecaceae
Description: long non-coding RNA (EGUI_LNC056231)
Source: RNAcentral